RNAcentral lists this ribosomal RNA (798 nucleotides) under uncultured Glomeromycotina. Its description in RNAcentral is "SSU rRNA". It matches the Rfam family "Eukaryotic small subunit ribosomal RNA", at positions 314 to 1114 of the family's 1831-position model. The record is from RNAcentral. Lineage: Eukaryota; Fungi; Glomeromycota.
AUCAACUUUCGAUGGUAGGAUAGAGGCCUACCAUGGUGGUAACGGGUAACGGGGUGUUAGGGCACGACACCGGAGAGGGAGCCUGAGAAACGGCUACCACAUCCAAGGAUGGCAGCAGGCGCGCAAAUUACCCAAUCCCGACACGGGGAGGUAGUGACAAUAAAUAACAAUACGGGGUCCUUUCGGGUUUCGUAAUUGGAAUGAGUACAAUUUAAAUCUCUUAACGAGGAACAAUUGGAGGGCAAGUCUGGUGCCAGCAGCCGCGGUAAUUCCAGCUCCAAUAGCGUAUAUUAAAGUUGUUGCAGUUAAAAAGCUCGUAGUUGAAUUUCGGGAUUAGUACGUUGGUCGUGCCUUCGGUACGUACUGGUGUUACUGAUUCCUACCUUCUGACGAACCAUCAUGUCAUUAAUUUGGUGUGGUGGGAAAUCAGGACUGUUACUUUGAAAAAAUUAGAGUGUUUAAAGCAGGCUCGCGCUUGAAUACAUUAGCAUGGAAUAAUGAAAUAGGACGUUGACCCUAUUUUGUUGGUUUCUAGGAUUGACGUAAUGAUUAAUAGGGAUAGUUGGGGGCAUUAGUAUUCAAUUGUCAGAGGUGAAAUUCUUGGAUUUAUUGAAGACUAACUACUGCGAAAGCAUUUGCCAAGGAUGUUUUUAUUAAUCAAGAACGAAAGUUAGGGGAUCGAAGACGAUCAGAUACCGUCGUAGUCUUAACCAUAAACUAUGCCGACUAGGGAUCGGAUGAUGUUAAUUUUUUAAUGACUCAUUCGGCGCCUUACGGGAAACCAAAGUGUUUGGGUUC